This 492-nucleotide ribosomal RNA is filed under the name uncultured bacterium. RNAcentral's name for it is "partial 16S ribosomal RNA". It matches the Rfam family "Bacterial small subunit ribosomal RNA", at positions 29 to 507 of the family's 1533-position model. The record is from RNAcentral.
AGUGAACGCUGGCGGUAGGCCUAACACAUGCAAGUCGAACGGCAGCACAGUAAGAGCUUGCUCUUACGGGUGGCGAGUGGCGGACGGGUGAGGAAUACAUCGGAAUCUACUUUUUCGUGGGGGAUAACGUAGGGAAACUUACGCUAAUACCGCAUACGACCUACGGGUGAAAGCAGGGGAUCUUCGGACCUUGCGCGAUUGAAUGAGCCGAUGUCGGAUUAGCUAGUUGGCGGGGUGAAGGCCCACCAAGGCGACGAUCCGUAGCUGGUCUGAGAGGAUGAUUAGCCACACUGGAACUGAGACACGGUCCAGACUCCUACGGGAGGCAGCAGUGGGGAAUAUUGGACAAUGGGCGCAAGCCUGAUCCAGCCAUACCGCGUGGGUGAAGAAGGCCUUCGGGUUGUAAAGCCCUUUUGUUGGGAAAGAAAAGCAGCAGGUUAAUACCCCGCUGUUCUGACGGUACCCAAAGAAUAAGCACCGGCUAACUUCGUG